RNAcentral lists this ribosomal RNA (497 nucleotides) under uncultured bacterium. Its description in RNAcentral is "partial 16S ribosomal RNA". It matches the Rfam family "Bacterial small subunit ribosomal RNA", at positions 28 to 507 of the family's 1533-position model. The record is from RNAcentral.
GAUGAACGCUGGCGGCGUGCCUAAUACAUGCAAGUCGAGCGAACAGACGAGGAGCUUGCUCCUCUGACGUUAGCGGCGGACGGGUGAGUAACACGUGGAUAACCUACCUAUAAGACUGGGAUAACUUCGGGAAACCGGAGCUAAUGCCGGAUAAUAUAUUGAACCGCAUGGUUCAAUAGUGAAAGACGGUUUUGCUGUCACUUAUAGAUGGAUCCGCGCCGCAUUAGCUAGUUGGUAAGGUAACGGCUUACCAAGGCGACGAUGCGUAGCCGACCUGAGAGGGUGAUCGGCCACACUGGAACUGAGACACGGUCCAGACUCCUACGGGAGGCAGCAGUAGGGAAUCUUCCGCAAAGGGCGAAAGCCUGACGGAGCAACGCCGCGUGAGUGAUGAAGGUCUUCGGAUCGUAAAACUCUGUUAUUAGGGAAGAACAAAUGUGUAAGUAACUAUGCACGUCUUGACGGUACCUAAUCAGAAAGCCACGGCUAACUACGUG